Molecule: transfer RNA, 84 nt
Filed under: Clostridiales bacterium
Lineage: Bacteria; Bacillati; Bacillota; Clostridia; Eubacteriales
Description: tRNA-Leu
Rfam family: tRNA
About the family: Transfer RNA (tRNA) molecules are approximately 80 nucleotides in length. Their secondary structure includes four short double-helical elements and three loops (D, anti-codon, and T loops). Further hydrogen bonds mediate the characteristic L-shaped molecular structure. tRNAs have two regions of fundamental functional importance: the anti-codon, which is responsible for specific mRNA codon recognition, and the 3' end, to which the tRNAs corresponding amino acid is attached (by aminoacyl-tRNA synthetases). tRNAs cope with the degeneracy of the genetic code in two manners: having more than one tRNA (with a specific anti-codon) for a particular amino acid; and 'wobble' base-pairing, i.e. permitting non-standard base-pairing at the 3rd anti-codon position.
Source: RNAcentral
GCGGAUAUGGCGGAAUUGGCAGACGCGCACGGUUCAGGUCCGUGUGUCCCUAAAGACGUGCAGGUUCAAGUCCUGUUAUCCGCA